This 631-nucleotide ribosomal RNA is filed under the name uncultured bacterium. Its description in RNAcentral is "bacterial SSU rRNA". It matches the Rfam family "Bacterial small subunit ribosomal RNA", at positions 11 to 641 of the family's 1533-position model. The record is from RNAcentral.
GUUUGAUCAUGGCUCAGGACGAACGCUGGCGGCGCGCCUAACACAUGCAAGUCGAACGGAGCUUACAGGCGGAAGUUUUCGGAUGGAAGCUUGUAAACUUAGUGGCGGACGGGUGAGUAACACGUGAGCAACCUGCCUAUCAGAGGGGGAUAACGAUUGGAAACGAUCGCUAAUACCGCAUGACAUAGCGGAACCGCAUGGUUCUGCUAUCAAAGAUUUUAUCGCUGAUAGAUGGGCUCGCGUCCGAUUAGAUAGUUGGUGGGGUAACGGCCUACCAAGUCGACGAUCGGUAGCCGGACUGAGAGGUCGAACGGCCACAUUGGGACUGAGACACGGCCCAGACUCCUACGGGAGGCAGCAGUGGGGGAUAUUGCACAAUGGGGGAAACCCUGAUGCAGCGACGCCGCGUGAGGGAAGACGGUCCUCUGGAUUGUAAACCUCUGUCUUCGGGGACGAAACGAGACGGUACCCGAGGAGGAAGCCACGGCUAACUACGUGCCAGCAGCCGCGGUAAUACGUAGGUGGCAAGCGUUGUCCGGAAUUACUGGGUGUAAAGGGAGCGUAGGCGGGCAGGCAAGUCAGGCGUGAAAUAUAUCGGCUCAACCGGUAACGGCGCUUGAAACUGCAGGUC